RNAcentral lists this ribosomal RNA (253 nucleotides) under uncultured bacterium. RNAcentral's name for it is "partial 16S ribosomal RNA". It matches the Rfam family "Bacterial small subunit ribosomal RNA", at positions 524 to 776 of the family's 1533-position model. The record is from RNAcentral.
UACGGGGGGGGCAAGCGUUGUUCGGAAUUACUGGGCGUAAAGGGCUCGUAGGCGGCCAACUAAGUCAGACGUGAAAUCCCUCGGCUUAACCGGGGAACUGCAUCUGAUACUGGAUGGCUUGAGAUUGGGAGAGGGAUGCGGAAUUCCAGGUGUAGCGGUGAAAUGCGUAGAUAUCAGGAGGAACACCAAUGGCGAAGGCAGCUCGCUGGAACGGUACUGACGCUGAGGCGCGAAAGCGUGGGGAGCGAACAGG